AUUGAACGCUGGCGGCAGGCCUAACACAUGCAAGUCGAGCGAGUGGCGGACGGGUGAGUAAUGUCUGGGAAACUGCCUGAUGGAGGGGGAUAACUACUGGAAACGGUAGCUAAUACCGCAUACCAUCGGAUGUGCCCAGAUGGGAUUAGCUAGUAGGUGGGGUAACGGCUCACCUAGGGGACGAUCCCUAGCUGGUCUGAGAGGAUGACCAGCCACACUGGAACUGAGAAACGGUCCAGACUCCUACGGGAGGCAGCAGUGGGGAAUAUUGCGCAAUGGGCGAAAGCCGGAUGGAGCAACGCCGCGUGAGUGAUGAAGGUCUUCGGAGUGUAAAGUUCUUUGAGUAGGGAAGCGGUACCUAAAGAAAAAGCAACGGCUAACUACGUGCCAGCAGCCGCGGUAAUAC
This 406-nucleotide ribosomal RNA is filed under the name uncultured bacterium. RNAcentral's name for it is "partial 16S ribosomal RNA". It matches the Rfam family "Bacterial small subunit ribosomal RNA", at positions 29 to 526 of the family's 1533-position model. The record is from RNAcentral.